CAACGGAUAGUACUUGUUUUUCUUUUUUUUUAAUAAAUAAUGAUAGCGUUGAGAACUGGUCGCCAAAGUUAAAGAGAAAAAGGUGGGAUCCGCAGGAACAAGAGCGAGGGUCCGUCGGCGUUCCUCCUCUCUGAAUGUUGAUUUCGGGCUUCCCUCGAAGUGGAAAAGGGCAGAAAGGAUAGAGACUCAGAGAGAAAGAGGGAGCGAUGGGAAAUUUGAUGAGUUUUUUCUUCAACAAGGAGAGUCCACCCCCCAUGGUGCUGGUUCCCCCAUUUCGACUUCCCUCCCCUCGCGGCGCGCACCAGGAUGUUAGUUCCAGCUUAUGACUUACUAUUUGGGAAGCUUGCAUUGCAUUCCCUUUUUGAGGACUACUUUGAGCGAGGAACCUCAACACAAGAAACAUGCUAAAACCAUUGGAGGAUCCUCAUGUGGAUGGACUUGGAUGAUCUGUAUACAUUUAUGGACCUUAUGUUAUCUACUUCCGAUCCCAUACUGCAUUUGAGGUCAUGUGCUUACUACUCUAGAUAUCAACUUGGAGCUUUUGGUAUAUUUCCUUUGGUAAUAACAAAAAGUUAAUUCGAUGCGGACACUGUGAUUGCACGCUUGGCUGUCGCAUGCUGAACGCUUGCCCUUGGCCCUACCUUGGAAGACUCGGAUCACAAACUUGGAGAAAGACAUGUAUUGGGCCCAAAAGGAUGCUGUUGAAGUGAGGAAGAAACUUCGAAAGGCAAGAAGGUACAAUGAAAAGGCUUCAGUGGAAAUAGAUUGCCUGAGGAAAUGCAUACGGCAAAGGGACAGAGUAUUUUGCCGAUAGGCGCAGGAUAACAAAGGAGCGCGACAUGUUUGGAUGGGUGACUGGGGAGAGCAAGUGGAAUGCGGCUGCGAUGGCUGCUCUCUGCAAUGAGAAGAUCUGUGGGGCCAAGGAAGAAAUAAUACAACUAAGAUAUGACAUUGCAUCGCGAAAAGCUGCCGAGUCCUGCAGACCAUCAAAUGACUUCCUCGAAUGUGAGCUUCUUGUGGCGCAUGACGUCACUGCCAAUCUUUUGGAAUCCUUAAGCCUGACAGGUCCGCGCUGACUGAGCUCAGAGUUCGGCUUGCAGGGAGUGAGGAGGCCACCUACCGUGCCGAAGCUACUAUCAAACAACUGGAGAAAAAACUUGUCGCCACUAUGUGCGAGGUUGCUGUGGAAGUUGCCAAGGUCUCAACUAUGGCCUAUGACAUCGGUUUGGAAGAGUACUGUAGAAGUUUGGCCAAGCAGUUUUUUUUCGAAGUUGAUUCUAACGUCAAUGCCGUUAGGGACGACAGGGGCACUGAUCUCGCGGAUCCUAUCAUCAGGAGGCGCUCGGCUUUACCGUCGGAAAAGCGUGAGGUUCGGAAUAUGCUGCAGCUUCGUCCACCAAGGAUGGUCGCCUUGGAUGAUUCCACUCUCUCUCUUUUCUUUAAGCAUCUAUCUUGAGGUCCUUGUAACUAGUUUGUGGAAUAAAAUUUAAAAUUUUCAUUUUA
Molecule: long non-coding RNA, 1503 nt
Organism: Elaeis guineensis (African oil palm)
Lineage: Eukaryota; Viridiplantae; Streptophyta; Magnoliopsida; Arecales; Arecaceae
Source: RefSeq, a predicted model, not a curated record